CUGCAGCUUGCGGCACCCCGCUGGCCUCGGCGUGUCUUCCCGUGGCGAAGGGGGGCUGCCGUGCUGUCAUCGGUCGAAAAGGCUGUUGGGUGCGGGUUCGGCAGCUGCCUGCUAGAAAGAAAAGGUGUUUCCGCUUUAAACUUUCCACCAGUUCUAGGUGCCGUCGCGCGGGGCCGAGCCGUUACCUGCGGCGCGGCUGAGGGAAGCACAGGCUGAGGGCGGAGUGACACCUCGCCGUGGAAGUGCUGUUGGAAAUUCGGUUUCAGAGUUUGUUUAGAUGCGUUCGUCCACACGAAGGCGCUUUUGAACUUAAAAAUGAUACUUUCCAGGGACACCAAGGAGACAUUCCAGCUAGCAGCGACUAUCAAAUGGAGGAAGCUCUGGCAGAGGUUAACAGAUGAGAUAUUUCUUAGCCAUGACUUGUGAAGAAUUAUAGCCCUAAGUGCGCUCCUAAGACAAAGAGCCUUCUAAGAUCCAAGGAUGUCAUCUUACAUGAUUUUUACCCUUUUUUGGAAGCAUCUAAAGAAAAACUGGAAACUGCAGUGAUAUACGAAGAAUUGACAGCCCUUCCUCUUUUGCCCUAUGGAUGUUGUUCCGUACAGACAGAGCCCAGAGGAAUGGAAAGCUGUAAUUUUGCUGAAGUAUUGCAGUGAUGUGAACACGCUUCUCAAGACUCCCAUCCUUGCUUUCUCAGCAGGGAAGAUUGGCCUCUUUACAUUGGAAGACCUCUGUCUGUGGUGUAUGCAUGCCAGAGCUUUCCCACCUGCUUUUGACAAGCUGAAUGAAAUAUAUCAAACUCUUGGCAACUUCUACACUAGCUGUGAUAGUGAAGACUAAUGGUAUCUGUAGGAUUACUGCCAGAAGGAAGAAAAAAAAAAUCAUUUUAGACCCUUGCUUCAGAGAAGCCCUGUCAUGAAAGGGAGCUGGAAAGAUCUUUCCCCUGGAGUAAAGCAAAUGACAUGACAAAAGGAAGGAGAUUCAGAAAAUGACAGAAUACCUAUUUGGAGGGGCUGGAAACAGGCCUGCCCAGACAGGAGUCAGACCUCUGGAGCUAUGGUGUCCAAACAGUGCUAAACUACAUGGAAAUUUAGCAGAUAGAGAAGGAGAAAUAAUGCUCAGAAAGAAUGUAUGCCUACAGGAAAUUCCCAGCAUCAGCUGGCAACCAAGUCAGUGGACCAUUGCCAAAGACCACUAAAAAGCUCCUUGCUUAGCCAAGAGGACCUCUGCCAUAAUUCCCUGUCUUCCUGCACAAAGCUUUGUCUCCAGUGGUUCAUAUCCAGAAGUCUCCGGUUUGUUGCUACUAGUGUAAAUAGCUACCAAAGGGUGAAGACUGAGGUAAUAAGCAAGAUCAAAAUCAGAUCCUACCAGUUCAGCAGUAUGAAUUCACCAUGUAGAAGGUAAGCUCAAUGAGAGGAUGUUAGCACAGAAGUACCAACUCAAAGAUGCUUUGUCUUAACAGGAAAUUUUGAAGUUGAGAACACUCUACCAUGGGGUAAAGGUACCUGGUGAAAACAUGAAAAGCAUGAAGGCACAUGGUGAAAACAUGCAGAAUGGGGACGAUGCAGAGAAGACAGCACUGAAUUAUGUGUAUGUCCUGGAACUUCUUCCUAUGAGGAGUUUCAGGAUAUUAGACACUCUUGAGAUACUUAUUGUUCUAUUGCGUCUUCAAAGACUUAGGGCUUGGCCAAUUUUUACUUUUGGGAGUUGGAAGCAAGCCUUCCCUGAAAGUAGGGUGACUCGUUAAGAACUGCUGCAGGAUUGCUCUGCACCUUCUAGUAUACCAGUUUUGAGGAAGCAUCCCACAACAUUUAAAAAUCACAUUUUUACCAAUAUGUUUAUGGAAAAUGGUUGAGUAAGAUUGAAGGAAAGUUGUAAGUAUGGAAAGAGUAGAAUAAUCUUUUUGUGAAAAUUGCAGUUUGACAAAGAUAACAGUUUUUAAAGAAGCAUUUUAUUUUUUUGAUGUUCUAUCCCGGUGCUACCAGAGAAUAGCAAGGACAAGGAACACAUUUGCCCUUCUCUGAAAGCUGAAUAAUUCACUGGAUAAUCUCCAUUCUUAGUGAAUAGAAAGCUGAAAGCUAUAAAUUGUAUUUUAAAAGUUCGUUGUGAACACAGAGUGCUGCAGGAAGUAGCAAGCUUAUCAAAGAUCUUUAUGUUGCCUACAGUGUCAAAUGUUAUGUUCACCAGGAGACCAGACAAACAAAUUAGCAGGAUAUGUCACUAUAAUCUAGACUGAAAAAGGUCCCCUGAGAAAUUAAUUUCCGAAUCUUUAAUCUACCACAUUUUAUAUAAUUUUUAUCUACAAUAGUGCAGCUUUUCACACAUCCCUACUUUAAGAAAAAUGUAGUUAAAUACUGUUGGAAAAAAGGAGAGAAAAGGAAUUAAUGUGUUCUUUUUUAUCUAACCGUAUGUUUUCCCAAAUGCAACCUGAAGCCCAUUCAGCAGAAUAUUUACAUAUGUGCCUAUGUCAUUCAGAAUUCCCACACACUUCCAGUACUCACUGGAGCUCGUCUGAUGUUUUAAACUAGGUGUUGAAAUGCCCUACUGAAUCAGAGCCAUAAUUUGGAUUUCUUUUUCUUUAAGGUGGAGAACGAAGAGCUAACUCUUCCUCCCAGAAGCCACAAGAGUUUGUAAGAAAGGAGAUGAUGUGGGAAACCUUGUGCCCCUCUUCUCCUGGGUGACGUCAAGAGCAUUGCCAAACCUACUGUGUCAAAAGUAGUCCAGAUAGUGAGGUGUAAUGUGGCAGUCAGCUCCUUCAUCACCAUUUCGAGCAUUCUCAGAUUGUUGGCUUUGCACACAUGUAUUUUGUACCUGUGUUUGAGGAGAUGAACAUCUCUUCAGUUAAUGAAAACAUCAUGGAAAACAUAGAAGACAACUAUGAACCCUUCCAAAAGAUGGCAUUUCAGGGAACAGGCCUAUUCAGAAAGAAUUGAAUUAAAAUGUUAUGAAGGAAAUCCCAGGUUACAAGAUAGUCUCUGUUUUUAAAGGGCUAUUUCAGCUUUAGCCCAUUUCUCAUCAAAAUCAUGGCUUUGCAAGAAGUUAUGUCCAACUUGCGUGACAGAACAAUUUUAUUAGAAGAAACUUGUAUUAAUUUUAAAAAGCCAAUUGCAUGCUGUCAUGUGUGUUUUGUAGCAUCAAUCAUUGCUUCUGUCUGCUGAGUCUGGAUAAAGAAUUUAAUUGCUAAUAACAUAGGAAUUGGUCUGAUUUUGUGAAACUGAAAGGGAAGUGUUUUCUUCCUCCUCCAAGACACGCAAACCUUAAUCCUUAGGUCUUUUAAAGAAAAAACACUUCAUAUGAAUGCGACAGAGUAGGUAUUGUUUUGAAACGUGUGCACUGUGUAUGCUCAUGGACAUUCUUCUUCAUAUUCUACUUACAUAGCUGUCAUUGCAUGCAUAUUAAAAGAAAAAGUGGAAAAAGCACAGCCUCUGAAGAGAUCAUUAGUAUUUCAUUCCUCCCAAUAUAGUUAUUUCUUUAAUUUCUUUUCCCUUUCCCAGAGAAGCAGAUCAGAUUGUUCUAGACAGGAUGACUUAUCUAUGACUCUUCUCCUGCAUGGGACACUCACCAGUGUAGAAUAUCCUUUUAUCAAGUUGAUUCUAAAAUCACUAUGAUUUUAUGCCAUGAUAAAACAUAUCGUAUUGAAAGAGCACAUACUUCCUGUUACAAACACCCGUUAAGCAUUCCUCACGACAUCUGGGGAACCUGUCUUAUCCUAUUGCUUUCUUGUUGCUUUUCAGGAUAUUUCGCUGAAGGAGUGAGAACAAAUCAACUACAAACUUGCACAGAAAAAGCACACAAAUUUUAGAUGUCAAUCUCCAAUUACCAGAGACAGAAAGGGCAAAGGACCCCACUCCAGUGCCACACUCAAUAUUCCUCACAGCAGCUGGAUAUCUAGAGCCUGCCGUUCCUGAGGGAGUCCCUGAGACCUACUUGAUGAUGGGAGUGUUUCACAGCUACUCAGUCUGGAUGGAUGCCAAACCACAUUUCGGAGGGGUGAGAAGGGCCCAACAUCUGCUUCUGGUGUAACUGUUUGUAUCUUCGCUCUAGGAAAAUUAGGUUUGAAAUAAUCUCAAAUUGUCUGACACCUGUAUCCUAUUAGAAGUGACACAUGGAAACACCUUCAGCAUACCGAAUUUAGCACCAUGUCAACAGUUUAAAGUUAACAGGAAAAAAAUUGGUAAAAAUCAUUGCUUCCCAGUUUCUGCUGAAACAGAUCUUGUGUCAUUUCACGGGAUCAUACUGCAAGCUUGAUCCAUAAACAUAAUGGGGUUUGAACCAGUAUUUAUAAGGUGGUUUGUGUCCUUAGCUAUAGCUGGAAUUAAAUUCAGCACGCACCUCAAGGUGACCGGUGUACAGUGCUUUGAGCUCAGUGGAGGCACACCUAAGGGUUGGGUGCCAGCCAGCACCUAGGGCAUGAACACGCAGCCAUUUGUAAGACUCAAGUUCUUCUGAGAAGGACAUUCAUUAAAAUUCAUAAAACUUUAUGACUUUCAUAAAAUUCUUACGAACUAAAAUACACUAUCCAUUACAAAAACAUAUGUCUUCCCAUUCAUCUUUAAAUACAUUCCUUUUUUUCUGAGAACUUUGAAUCAAUUUGUUUUGAGAGAUUAAUUGUUUUUUAAUGCUAGUCUGAGAGUAAGAGAAACUUUUCUUUUUAGAUGGUAUUGUUUUUCAGCAGAUCUGCAUCUUCAAUGAGCAAUGUCUGGAGUUAAGAAAACAGGAAAAACCACUGGUCUUGAUUGUUUUUCUCUUCUGUUCCUGCUAAUUAUUUGGCACCAAGUGAGCGGUCAUUUUAUCAAGGAAAUAGCUGUGACAAGCACAGAGGACAUUUGCAGAAACACAGGCAGGUCAAAAUGUGUUUUAAGAGCUAGAAAACAGCAAAUUAACUUUUGGAAAUUUAAGCAGAGGGCCAAUACAGCAUGCUAAUGAAAAUUAUGUUAAAAGUAGAAAAGUGGGACGAUAAUGGAAAGAGAGCCCAAUAACACUGAACACUGAGGAAAAAAAGCACACAGGGUGCUGUAACAAGAAAGAGCAUCAAGCGCAAGUUUGGGCUCUUUUUAACCCCAGGAUCAACCACGUGGACUUCCUGUAUGGUGUGGCACUGGUGACACAGAACAAAGGAUAAUAGGUAAUAUUUUACAUGCACCCAUAGCUGAAAAAUAUCAGGGAAAACCUGGAGCACAAUGAAAUCUGUUUGAGGUGGAAUUUAUCCUAAGGGAACAGCUCCAGUGCCACAGCCUGCUUUUGGAAUAAUUUAAUGGAAACUGCUCCUACAGUCUUCCUUAGGUUUAAAACUCUCAGCUUAGGAGAAAAAAAAAAAUACGAAUAGACCCCUGCAAGCUUCCCAAGAAAGAAAAUGAUAAACGGCUGUGAAACGUGCAUGUACAUUGGAGGAACAGCUUUAAAGCAACAUGAAUUUGAACGAAGGAAGCUCACAGCUACAUAUUGCAAACAGUCUUCCAUAAAGGAUGUUACAUGGUAGGACAGUUCCCCCAAAAGGAUGCUACAAGUCACACACUUGAGUUAUUAAACAGCAGCAACAGUCUGAAGGGAACAGUAUUAAGACAGGCAGUAAUUCUUUAUUAGGAACAUCUGAUUAGAGGAUUUAUCUUUCUAAAGUAUUUUUGCCUAUUACUGAAAUAGAUGGGAGAAAAUAAGGGUGCCUUGUAAACAGCUGCUCUACCUUAGGUCCACACACACACACACACACACACACAAAAAAGCUUGAAACGACAAGGUGCCAACCUGAAUUCAGUAAGGCUGCAAUACCACUCUCCCUGUACUUCGGUGAUGUUAUAGCUGAGGUUCAACUGGAAUGUGGAUGCAGAGGCCUGCUAAUACUGAUCCCAACCAAAUCUCACGAUAAGCUAGCGCCCUCCCCGUGGGCAGCCUGGCCUCUGAGACAGACUUUAGCUGCUGGCAAGAUCCUCCCACACAUCCCACAACCUGUUUAUCCCUGCUGAGAUAUCUGUAAAGAACUGAAUCACGAGCUACACGUUUGUACGUGUAAACACAGGCUGUGAAACUCUGAACCGAAAGGCCAGCACAGCCUCAUCGCAUAUCCCAGCUCCCACCCUUGAACUUCCAAUUUUUUUUGAAAGUCAAUUUUAUCUUCGCACUCCUGAUUUUAAAUGCAUGAGCCCUCUUCAAAGUCUUAGCAAGUUUUUGCCCUUCAAAAAAUAGCCAGUCUUGGUUAUUCCUUGUUGGACCUUGCUAUCACAACUUGACAAAUGUGAAACAAAAUAACGGGUAAUAAAUUAUGAAUACAAAUCCCACAUUUGUCCCUGAGGAAGUACACCAUUCUUUUAAGGACAGACAACGCAGUCUCAUCCCAGCAUUUGUGUCUCCCUUUCAGAACAAAAAUAAAACAAGGAUCUGCUUAUCCUUUCCUUUUUGGUUCACCAAAAUGUAACUUCCUGCAAGAGCCUGAUCAGUGACUGAUAACGUCACCUCAUCUGAGCAGGAACAGCUUGGGGACUCUGGUGUGAGACAGGAAAAUACACCAGCUGGAACCCUGCAUGAGGAGGUACCAGCUUCAGUUACCUCUGUCAGCCCUGCUGCCUCUCCCCACGCUUAUAAAGACCAUAAAACAAACGUAACUCAGAGAAGAAAUACAGAAAAAAACGUAGGGAGAAGAGGACAAGGAAAUCCAGCAACUGAGUGGAUUAAUCACUUGUGUCUCGCACCUAGGAUCUGGGACCUGCUCAAACAUUUUCAGUUCAGUUACGUAAACCCAAGAUUUAAUACUCUCUUGUCAGCAACCACAGAAUUAUUUCACGGUGGCCAAGGCCUGACUGCACCUGAAAACAAAGUGCCCUAUUGCCUGUCUUUCCCUCUAAAACAAACUAAGCUCACAGGACUUUUUUUCCCAAAGAAACACCAUGCUCAUCGUGUGCCCUUUGUAUUUCAAGACAACGGAGCGGCUCCCCUCUGAAAGCCUGCUGUAAGCUGGCACAGCUCUGAUCCACAGGUCUCCACAAAGCUUUUAAUUAAGCCACACCAGUCUGUGUUGCUGAAAAUCUGCCCUUCGAUGUGGAAUGAUUUAUUAAAAGCUACAGGAAAAAUGCAGGUUUUGCUCCUUAUUUAACUGCUACUUACCUUAAAGACAAGAUGCACUCACAUCAGCUGGGCUUUGGGGAAGAAGAGCCACUUUCUGGCCUCCGAACAGCCCAAAACUCUGGGGAGUGACAAGCGACACUGGCAAGGGCAGCUCAGGACACGUGCUGUGGUGUUAGCCUUCCCACCUGGGGAACCUGAAGCAAAGAAAAACAGACGUUCACACAGAAGGUCAGUGCACCGUUCUGCAAGAACGUCUGGAUCCCAGCUGGGACUCUGGCACUAUUCUUUGUCUGUCUUCAGGAACCUAACCUUUCUGUAGGACCUAUCCAGAAGCGACCAUGCCUUUUACAAUAUAUUUUUACAAUACAUUUGUAAAGGACCGAAUAUGCCCGUUUAAAUAGACACGCUGGCUGAUUCAGAGAAAUACGAGAAAAAAAUAUCACAGCUAUCUUUCACUGAUGUGCACAGGAAACGUGAAUGGACAUUUUACAGAAAUUUCAAGCUUAUUUAUAUUUGUUAUUAACAUAAAGUAGACUCACUUCUAAUUUAUUGGUUUAACAAGACAUACACUGCUAAGGUCAAAGUCUUCUUAAAUGCUUUAAAAUCCAGUAUUGAUAAUUUUCUUACUGUUCAUCAAAACUGCCUUUUAACUUCAUUCAUAGAUGGUCCAAAUGAGUAAAAACACAACAUACAAAAAGAACUUUCUAAAAGAGCAAAAUCUUCUGUCAAACUGAAGCAAGUUCCUUCUGUCCUGGUACCACUAACACUUUCUGAUUUAUGGAAAUGUUAUUCCAUUCAUCUUCCUAAAAAUUCAUUGGAUUGGAAAAAUAAAAGGGUUGUUCACAUUGUACUUUCAAUGGAAAAUGUUUAUGACAACAUGAUUAUGGAGAAAAAUGCAAGCAUACCAAAGCGUAUUAAUAAUGGACAUUUUCAACGUUACUGAUCUGACCGAUUAUUUCUAAUUUGCUUUCUGAAAGGCUCAAAUUCUAUUUACUAACUCAGUAAACUCUCGGUGUUGCUCACAGCAAUGCAAGUUUGAACUCACUGAACUGGAAUUUCAAGACUUGUUCCCAAGCUCAUUUGGAGAAUAAGCGUGUUUGAGUAGGGUUGUGCUUUACCAGCCAAGAGCAUGCUUAGUUUUCACAGAAUACAUUCAGUGUGUAUUUGUCUGGCAGAAGUUACUCAGCAAUUUUGAGAAUUUGACCACAAUGUGUUAUCACCAGCAGAGAUUUUUCUCCACUGAACAUGCAAAUGCAACUUUUUCUGAGAAAAUGUGGUUUUGUUGCUUUCAGACACAAUUUGAGUGCAAAUUGCUCAGAUGCUGACAAUAUGACCAAAUAUUGAUGUUCGUGUUAUUUGGAUAGUGAUCCCGUAACAUAUUGCAUCUAUCAAACAAUUACCUUGUCACUAGCUCUUUAAAGUCUAGAAAUAUGGAUACGCACAAGCAGCUUUGUGGAUGCAUGUCAUUCCCCACACCACUAACUUGCAGCUGGGAAACUAACAACCUAAUAUUUGUACCUUGUUGGGCAACAUGAUGUUCUAACAAUUCAUUGUGCAAAGGAAAUGCAGACUUCUGAAAGUAUUUUUUGCUGAUUCUCUUGGCUUCCAGUAGAUUUUAUUGCACUCUAAACCAGGAAUUGUUGAAAUUAUUCUGAAUUUUGUUGUUGACUUCAGCUGAAACAGGAAUGAACAUCAAUUCAGCACAUAACUGACUACUUAGGUAAGUCUCCAGCCCCAGCUGGCUGAAACCCUAUGUAUGCAUAGGAAAAGUUCUGUCUUUACUCUGGCCCUGGUAUUUCUAAACUGCAUAGAUUAUUAUAAUAUUCAAAGAAGACUCAGGAAAAAGGCUUCCACAUUUUAAAAUAAACAAAUAGUUUUCUUUAGCUUCUAAGGAAAUUGAGAAAAGAGAACAGCACUCUCUUUUUGCCCUCUUCCUCUUUUUCUAGCACGAAUUUUGAACCAACCAUUUCGUGUAUAUUCUGGUUAUUAUUUUUCCCAUUCAUAUCUGCAUUCCUAGCAUGGUCUAGAAUCAGAACUCUAACAAGAUUCCUUUACAGGGCAGAUGAAAAUAUCUUUAAUAUGAAUUAAGAGAAAAUUAUUCACCGAAGAGCUAAAAUCCCUAAAUUUCUCAUUUAAAGUCAGUCAAAACCAUUAAUCUAAACUGUUAACGUGCAAAUGGAAGCCCAAAACCAUGUCAUGGCAGGCAGCGAAGGCUCUUCAAUGUUUUAUACCACUGAGGACUGCAGUCGAGCCACGGUGGUAUGGACACACCUCGGCUGCACCACAGACAUGAUUAUGUCAUUUCCAUUCAUAAAUACCUUGGUUCUGACACAAACUGCUUAAACCGCAUGCUUAUAUCUAAGCAUGCUUGCAGACCUUGUGAAGAUUUAUGAUUACUGGAGAAAUACCAUAGAAUCUUUAAGGUUGGAAGAGACCUCUAAGAUCAUCAAGUCCAACCGUCAUAUUCUACAGUGAGAUUCAUCCCAUUCAUCUCUAUGUUCUUCCCUUUACUUUCUCUAACCUAAAGGUCUAGACACUUUAUUCUUACUGACAUAGAAGGGCUAUUUUUUUUACUAUGGUCAUAUAGAAAGUCUUCAUCAUUAGCACCACAAUAAAAGUAAUUAAAUAGAUGAGCAAGAGAAAUCCAUCGAUUGCAUGAAACUUAUUUCUUCACUUCUACUCUUUCCUUUUUUAAAUGACAACUGUUUGGAACAAGGAUCCUGCUCCUGCAAAGCAGCCAAUGUUAACUUGUCAUUCUAGUAAUGAUGAUAACAGCCAAAAUGUCAGGAACCACAUAAUGUAAUUUGCUGUAUUGUGAUGUGUUUGGAUAGCAACUGUAAAAUUGCCAUUUUUUACAGCUUUUCAGGAUUUAUAAAGAAAAACCCCACAAUUUUACUGUGUUCAUUACCACACCAAAAUCACCACUUUUCUAGUGACUUGCCCAAAUUUCGAUACCAGAAAGAAUGACAGCCUCUUAAGUUUGCUAUCUUAUUUUUACAAAAGAGCAUAAAGGAAUACAGACGCAGGGCUCUGUCAAUCCUAACAACAGUAGGGUUUUCUAACGUGCAGUGAUUUCACUAGAUUCAAUUUAGAUGUGCUUUCAAACACCAGCAGCUAAAAGCUGCUACAGUGUCCGUCCCUGUCUCCAGUAGCUUGUUGGACUGCGUCGGGAGAUAACAGAUUGACAUUAUUACUGAUCUUGGCCAAAUGCUGUUGGUACAGCGCUCAAGGUCAUUCGCAGCUUACCUCUGCAUGUGCUGGGUGAUGUACAGCAGCGCUCAGCUGCGCUGAUGGGUUCAUCGUUCUCCAAGGCAGUGACCAAUGUUGAGCAUCUGGCUGAAAGGCUGUUUGAUCUUCCCACUGCUUUGCAGGCAAUACCACACUGCUCAGGGAGAAAAAAAUAAAAAAGGAAAAUAAAAAAGCCCACUAUUGAAAAGAUUUAUCAGCAAACGUAGUAGAGCCAUGCUUGACCUCCGUAUCUUGUCUUGUUCCCCAAAGGCAGCACAUGUAAGUUAUUUCCUGUCUUUCAUGUUACUGACUGGAAUGCAUCAUGAAGUCCAAAUUUGCAACCUGCUGUCUGUUUUAGUCAUUAGGCAUGACUUUUUGUCUCUUGAUGAGAGCUGCGGCCAACUGUUCACUGUUGUAAUGCAUAAAUUUUUCAGUUUUCCCCCCUCCUCUGAACAAAUAAACGAAAAAACCCAACUAGGCUGAAAGCUGAAAUUCACUCAUCAUCCGAGGCUUCUGUGUCUUACAGUAUCUCAUUUCCACAUCAGCACAUCAUACUCUGCUCUAGACCACCAAAACGUUAGUUGCAGAGUGAAUAGCCUCCACCUAUUAUUCAUGGGCCAAAUUCAAAGGUUACUGAAAAACAAUGAAAAGCAUCUACUAGAUUUCAAAAGAGCUGAUCAGUGCCAACACUUAUACAACUAAGCACGCAAGUUGGAGUUUACUGGCUGCAACUUGGAUCUACACUCACUUACCUGUCAAUAACAUCCAUGCAUUGUGAUCUUCAUGUUAUUUUUUAAAAUUAUGUCCACUCUGCAAAGACAUGCCACAAGUUAUGAAAUUAAGCUAUUGUGUUGUCUUUGCCAGGUGUUGUAUCUUGGAAUAUUGUUCACAAAACAGUCACUAGGCAUUUUAGCCUCUGACGAUCUUCAAAGUCAACUGAAGACAAUUUAUAAGGACAUUAGAAUAUACAGUGUAAAAUACCGGUCAUGUUUUGAUCCCCACAAGCUGUACACAAGUACUGGUUAUGCCUU
Molecule: long non-coding RNA, 11312 nt
Organism: Grus americana (Whooping crane)
Lineage: Eukaryota; Metazoa; Chordata; Aves; Gruiformes; Gruidae
Exons: 12
Source: RefSeq, a predicted model, not a curated record